Molecule: long non-coding RNA, 963 nt
Filed under: Canis lupus familiaris (dog)
Lineage: Eukaryota; Metazoa; Chordata; Mammalia; Carnivora; Canidae
Description: lncRNA (ENSCAFG00000051927.1)
Source: RNAcentral
UUUUUUUUUAAGUGCAUUCGCGGCCUGGUUUAAAUAGCAUUGUGUGAAAAUGUGCGAACCUGUUCCCUGUAGACGCCGAAGCCUUCAAAGUACAAGGUGGAGCAUCUCAGUCCCCAAGGAGUGAUGCAUCUUACUCGUCUUCUUUACCUUGAACCUUUGCCCAAUGCCUGAAACAUGCUCACAGGACCCGACAUGUGGAGGUGAAGAGGCUGGGGCAUGUCUCGGAUCUCCGCCAGGAGAUCUGUCAGAGAGCCGACAGGGGGCGCCUCGCUCAACAACUGUUUCCGCAGUGUGCAAAGCUUGCCAUUGAAGAUGCAUCUGGAUUCCACACAAUGUCCGGAAAAUGCAGUCAGCUCGGCAAGCUGGCCCGUGCCAGCAGGAUCGCGGGUCAGGAGCCCCUGCCCGAGGAAGAGAAGUGGAGCGCGCGGGACCUCCGACCCGCCUCCGGGACAGGGACCCGCGCAGGCGCCCGGCGAGCGUGGGUUUGCAGGGUUGAAGGUGGGUGUGUGCGGGGUGGGCCGGUGUGGACGCGGGUUGGCGCGGGUGUGCGUGGGUGGGGCGCUGGUGGGCGCAGGUGUGAGCUCGGGCGGGCGCGGGUUGGCGCAGGUGUGGACCGGGGUGUGUGCGGGGUCAGACGCGGGCGCAGGUGCGCUGCGGCGGGAGCUGUCAGGGGGCCGGUGCCAUCGGCGGGGCGCUGCUGGGUGCUCCCCAGGGCGCGCAGGGCCGUGCGCUCGCUGCUUGCCUCGUUAUUUCUUUAAUCCUGUUCAUAUUUAUAAGCCUGGAUCCAAAAACCCGAGAGCCGUAGGCUUCCUCCCAUUCUCCAGUAUCGAAAUCUGUAUUCCUGAGCAAGGGCAUGCAGACUCGGAUGUUAUAUUAACAGAUAAAUUACCUAUGUUUUGAAAACCACAAUUCUCAAAAGUUACCAGCUGGCCGGCAGUUCCUAACAUUUUGCACAUUUAAUUG